This is a non-coding RNA of Cherax quadricarinatus, 776 nucleotides long. NCBI's taxonomy places the organism in Eukaryota, Metazoa, Arthropoda, Malacostraca, Decapoda, Parastacidae. The record is from RefSeq and is a predicted model, not a curated record.
GUAACAGGUGUCAUUGACGGGUGUCAGUGACAGGUGUCAGAGACAGUUGUCAGUGACAGGUGUCAGUGACAGGUGUCAGUGACAGGUGUCAGUGACAGGUGUCAGUAUCAUGUGUCAGUGACAGGCGUCAGUGACAGGUGUCAGCUGACAGGUGUCAGUGACAGGUGUCAGUGACAUGUGUAAGUGACAGGUGUCAGUGCCAGGUGUCUGUGACAAGUGUCAGUGACAGGCGUCAGUGACAGGUGUCAGUGACAGGUGUAUGUAACAGGUGUCAUUGACGGGUGUCAGUGACAGGUGUCAGAGACAGUUGUCAGUGACAGGUGUUAGUGACAGGUGUCAGUGACAGGUGUCAGUGACAGGUGUCAGUAUCAUGUGUCAGUGACAGGUGUCAGUGACAGGUGUCUGUGAAAUGUGUCAGUGACAGGUGUACGUGACAGGUGUCACUGACAGGUGUCAGUGACAGGUGUCAGUGACAUGUGUCAGUGACAUGUGUAAGUGACAGGUGUCAGUGACAGGUGUCAGUGACAGGUGUCUGUGACAUGUGUCAGUGACAGGUGUACGUGACAGGUGUCUGUGAAAUGUGUCAGUGACAGGUGUACGUGACAGGUGUCAGUGACAGGUAUCAAUGACAUGUAUCAGUGACAGGUGUCAGUGACAUGUGUAAGUGACAGGUGUCAGUGACAGGUGUCAGUGACAGGUGUCAGUAUCAUGUGUCAGUGACAGGUGUCAGUGACAGGUGUCAGUGACAGGUAUCAGUGAUAUAUGUCAGUGACAGG